Molecule: ribosomal RNA, 566 nt
Filed under: uncultured Flavobacteriia bacterium
Lineage: Bacteria; Pseudomonadati; Bacteroidota; Flavobacteriia
Description: bacterial SSU rRNA
Rfam family: Bacterial small subunit ribosomal RNA
Source: RNAcentral
AGGGUUUGAUCCUGGCUCUGGAUGAACGCUAGCGGCAGGCUAACACAUGCAAGUCGAGGGGGUAUAGUAGCAAUACUAGAGACCGGCGCACGGGUGCCGUAACGCGUAUGCAAUCCUACCUUUUGCAGAGGGAUAGCCCCAGAGAAAAUUUGGAUUAAUACCCUCAUAGUAUAUAGAGUUGGCAUCAACAUUAUAUUAAAGUCACAACGGCAAAAGAUGAGCAUGCGUCCCAUUAGCUAGUUGGUAAGGUAACGGCUUACCAAGGCAACGAUGGGUAGGGGUCCCGAGAGGGAGAUCCCCCACACUGGUACUGAGACACGGACCAGACUCCUACGGGAGGCAGCAGUGAGGAAUAUUGGACAAUGGGCGCAAGCCUGAUCCAGCCCAUGCCGCGUGCAGGAUGACGGUCCUAUGGAUUGUAAACUGCUUUUAUACGAGAAGAACAUCCCCGACGUGUCGGGACUUGGACGGUAUCGUAAGAAUAAGGAUCGGCUAACUCCGUGCCAGCAGCCGCGGUAAUACGGAGGAUCCAAGCGUUAUCCGGAAUCCUUGGGUUUAAAGGGUCC